AAAUAUUUGAAUGAAAUGACUCAAGAUCGGUGAGGGGUGGCGGAAAGCUCACCUUGGCCGACGACGGGGAGAAAGCUCGCCCGUUUUCGGCUAAGGGACCCUUUUAUAGUGGCUGGCCAGGCCACGUUCGGGGGCCGAAUGUGCCUCCGCAUGCAUGCCAUGUUCGGCGGCCGAACUUGAGGUUCGACGGCCGAACCUGGGCUUCCCUCACUUAUGCCUUCGGGGGCCUAAG
This 232-nucleotide long non-coding RNA is filed under the name Manihot esculenta (cassava). Its description in RNAcentral is "long non-coding RNA (MESC_LNC012940)". Lineage: Eukaryota; Viridiplantae; Streptophyta; Magnoliopsida; Malpighiales; Euphorbiaceae. The record is from RNAcentral.